AUUGAACGCUGGCGGCAGGCCUAACACAUGCAAGUCGAACGAGUGGCGGACGGGUGAGUAAUGUCUGGGAAACUGCCUGAUGGAGGGGGAUAACUACUGGACACGGUAGCUAAUACCUCAUACCAUCGGAUGUGCCCCGAUGGGAUUAGCUAGUAGGUGGGGUAAAGGCUCACCUAGGCGACGAUCCCUAGCUGGUCUGAGAGGAUGACCAGUCACAUGGGAACUGAGACACGGGCCAGACUCCUACGGGAGGCAGAAGUGGGGAAUAUUGGACAAUGGGCGCAAGCCUGAUGCAGCUAUGCCGCGUGUAUGAAGAAGGCCUUCUGGUUGUAAAGUACUUUCAGCGGGGAGGCGUUACCCGAAGAAGAAGCACCGGCUAACUCCGUGCCAGCCGCCGCGGUAAUAC
Molecule: ribosomal RNA, 406 nt
Filed under: uncultured bacterium
Lineage: Bacteria
Description: partial 16S ribosomal RNA
Rfam family: Bacterial small subunit ribosomal RNA
Source: RNAcentral